RNAcentral lists this small RNA (170 nucleotides) under Arabidopsis thaliana (thale cress). RNAcentral's name for it is "ATSL159380". Lineage: Eukaryota; Viridiplantae; Streptophyta; Magnoliopsida; Brassicales; Brassicaceae. The record is from RNAcentral.
AUAGCUAAGAAUAACUGGAGAAGCCGAGAAAUCUUUAACCUAAACAUGUAUUCUAAACGAGUUUAAUUGUUAACCUUAGUAGAUAAGCCGAUUCUUAUUACACACCUAUAAACCAGGCUCAUCAAAUAAUAGAUCCAACUACAGAUACCUAUGGUGGGCAUAUCUAUUGU